This 76-nucleotide transfer RNA is filed under the name Diaphorina citri (Asian citrus psyllid). It matches the Rfam family "tRNA". Rfam says of the family: Transfer RNA (tRNA) molecules are approximately 80 nucleotides in length. The record is from Rfam by way of RNAcentral. Lineage: Eukaryota; Metazoa; Arthropoda; Insecta; Hemiptera; Psyllidae.
GCCUAGUUAGCCUAGUGGUUGGUAGUGCGUCUGCCUUGUAAGCGCUAGGCCGCGGGUUCGAUUCCCGCCCGGGGCG